GAUGAACGCUGGCGGCGUGCUUAACACAUGCAAGUCGAACGAUGAAGCCCAGCUUGCUGGGUGGAUUAGUGGCGAACGGGUGAGUAACACGUGAGUAACCUGCCCUUAACUCUGGGAUAAGCCUGGGAAACUGGGUCUAUUACCGGAUAGGAGCGUCCACCGCAUGGUGGGUGUUGGAAAGAUUUAUCGGUUUUGGAUGGACUCGCGGCCUAUCAGCUUGUUGGUGUGGUAAUGGCUCACCAAGGCGACGACGGGUAGCCGGCCUGAGAGGGUGACCGGCCACACUGGGACUGAGACACGGACCAGACUCCAACGGGAGGCAGCAGUGGGGAAUAUUGCACAAUGGGCGCAAGCCUGAUGCAGCGACGCCGCGUGAGGGAUGACGGCCUUCGGGUUGUAAACCUCUUUCAGUAGGGAAGAAGCGAAAGUGACGGUACCUGCAGAAGAAGCACCGGCUAACUACGUG
This 466-nucleotide ribosomal RNA is filed under the name uncultured bacterium. RNAcentral describes it as "partial 16S ribosomal RNA". It matches the Rfam family "Bacterial small subunit ribosomal RNA", at positions 28 to 507 of the family's 1533-position model. The record is from RNAcentral.